This 605-nucleotide ribosomal RNA is filed under the name uncultured earthworm cast bacterium. Its description in RNAcentral is "bacterial SSU rRNA". It matches the Rfam family "Bacterial small subunit ribosomal RNA", at positions 52 to 652 of the family's 1533-position model. The record is from RNAcentral.
CACAUGCAAGUCGAGCGGCAGCGCGGGGGCAACCCUGGCGGCGAGCGGCGAACGGGUGAGUAAUACAUCGGAACGUGUCCAGUAGUGGGGGAUAACCAGUCGAAAGAUUGGCUAAUACCGCAUACGAUCUACGGAUGAAAGCGGGGGACCGCAAGGCCUCGCGCUAUUGGAGCGGCCGAUGUCCGAUUAGCUAGUUGGUGGGGUAAUGGCCCACCAAGGCGACGAUCGGUAGCUGGUCUGAGAGGAUGAUCAGCCACACUGGAACUGAGACACGGUCCAGACUCCUACGGGAGGCAGCAGUGGGGAAUUUUGGACAAUGGGCGCAAGCCUGAUCCAGCCAUGCCGCGUGAGUGAAGAAGGCCUUCGGGUUGUAAAGCUCUUUCGGCGGGGACGAAACGGUCCGUGACAACACCACGGACUAAUGACGGUACUCGCAGAAGAAGCACCGGCUAACUACGUGCCAGCAGCCGCGGUAAUACGUAGGGUGCAGGCGUUAAUCGGAAUUACUGGGCGUAAAGCGUGCGCAGGCGGCUCCUUAAGUCAGAUGUGAAAUCCCCGGGCUUAACCUGGGAACUGCGUUUGAAACUGGGGAGCUUGAGUGUGGA